Molecule: ribosomal RNA, 293 nt
Filed under: uncultured bacterium
Lineage: Bacteria
Description: partial 16S ribosomal RNA
Rfam family: Bacterial small subunit ribosomal RNA
Source: RNAcentral
GGAUUAGAUACCCUGGUAGUCCACGCCGUAAACGAUGUCUACUAGCCGUUGGGGUCCUUGAGACUUUAGUGGCGCAGCUAACGCACUAAGUAGACCGCCUGGGGAGUACGGUCGCAAGAUUAAAACUCAAAUGAAUUGACGGGGGCCCGCACAAGCGGUGGAGCAUGUGGUUUAAUUCGAAGCAACGCGAAGAACCUUACCUACUCUUGACAUCCAGUGAACUUUUCAGAGAUGAAUUGGUGCCUUCGGGAACACUGAGACAGGUGCUGCAUGGCUGUCGUCAGCUCGUGCCG